GCCAGUGUGGCAUAGUGGUUUGAGUGUUGGACUAUGACUCUGGAAACCAAGGUUCAAUUCCCAGCAUGACG
RNAcentral lists this transfer RNA (71 nucleotides) under Phrynosoma platyrhinos (Desert horned lizard). RNAcentral's name for it is "tRNA-OTHER". Lineage: Eukaryota; Metazoa; Chordata; Lepidosauria; Squamata; Phrynosomatidae. The record is from RNAcentral.